AUGAACGCUGGCGGCGUGCCUAAUACAUGCAAGUCGCGCGAACAGACGAGGAGCUUGCUCCUUUGACGUUAGCGGCGGACGGGUGAGUAACACGUGGAUAACCUACCUAUAAGACUGGGAUAACUUCGGGAAACCGGAGCUAAUACCGGAUAAUAUAUUGAACCGCAUGGUUCAAUAGUGAAAGACGGUUUUGCUGUCACUUAUAGAUGGAUCCGCGCCGCAUUAGCUAGUUGGUAAGGUAACGGCUUACCAAGGCAACGAUGCGUAGCCGACCUGAGAGGGUGAUCGGCCACACUGGAACUGAGACACGGUCCAGACUCCUACGGGAGGCAGCAGUAGGGAAUCUUCCGCAAUGGGCGAAAGCCUGACGGAGCAACGCCGCGUGAGUGAUGAAGGUCUUCGGAUCGUAAAACUCUGUUAUUAGGGAAGAACAAAUGUGUAAGUAACUAUGCACGUCUUGACGGUACCUAAUCAGAAAGCCACGGCUAACUACGUG
RNAcentral lists this ribosomal RNA (496 nucleotides) under uncultured bacterium. RNAcentral's name for it is "partial 16S ribosomal RNA". It matches the Rfam family "Bacterial small subunit ribosomal RNA", at positions 29 to 507 of the family's 1533-position model. The record is from RNAcentral.